RNAcentral lists this ribosomal RNA (492 nucleotides) under uncultured bacterium. RNAcentral's name for it is "partial 16S ribosomal RNA". It matches the Rfam family "Bacterial small subunit ribosomal RNA", at positions 29 to 507 of the family's 1533-position model. The record is from RNAcentral.
AGUGAACGCUGGCGGUAGUCCUAACACAUGCAAGUCGAACGUCAGCACAGUAAGAGCUUGCUUUUACGGGUGGCGAGUGGCGGACGGGUGAGUCAUACAUCGGAAUCUACUUUUUCGUGGGGGAUAACGUAGGGAAACUUACGCUAAUACCGCAUACGACCUACGGGUGAAAGCAGGGGAUCUUCGCACCUUGCGCGAUUGAAUGAGCCGAUAUCGGGUUAGUUAGUUGGCGGGGUAAUGGCCCACCAAGGCGACGAUCCGUAGGUCGUCUGAGAGGAUGUUCAGCCACCAUGGAACUAUGACACACACCAUACACCUACGGGAGGCAGCAGACGAGAAUAUGUGACUAUAGGCGGAAGACUCGGUUACGCAGUCCGGGUGGAUGCAGGAGGCUUUCCGCUUGUAAAACCCUUUUGGUGGGGAAGAAAAGCAGCAGAUUAAGACCGCGCUUUUGUGACGGUACCCAAGAAAUAAGCACCGGCUAACUACGAG